RNAcentral lists this long non-coding RNA (592 nucleotides) under Saimiri boliviensis boliviensis (Bolivian squirrel monkey). RNAcentral describes it as "lncRNA (ENSSBOG00000036776.1)". Lineage: Eukaryota; Metazoa; Chordata; Mammalia; Primates; Cebidae. The record is from RNAcentral.
CCUUCCCAUGCCUCUCAGUGAUACUAAAAUAGCACGGAGAGAAAUUCCGGCUGCCUCAUCGGAACUCCAGCUCCACAUCAGCAAAGCUGGGGAAGGGGAGCAUCUGGGUCCCUGUGUGGGAAGUGUGGGUGCUGGUGGCUGCAGGCACAGUGCCAGCUGCAGACUCUCCGGCCCAGGAUGGAGGCUGAGAGUCCCGCUUCUCGUCCACAAGUGUGCAAGGGAGCGUGUGCACGCAGGAAGGAGAUCCAAGCUAGCAGAAGAUGGUGGCCUCUUUCAAAAUCUAAAUCAGUGCAAUUAUGACUUCAGUGGCUAAAUAAGCCUUUCCGAUCAUCACAGGGACAAGCUCAAGAUGCUGGAUCCAGGUUGUUCACCCAAACCGAGCGCCAGUUACAUCCUCAGGCUCGUUUCUCAGCCUCCCUCCCUCAGGAGCAGUCACAUCACAUGACAUUGUGUAGCUUACAGACCAUCUUCAAUCAAUUCUCCUUAACGAAUCAUUUUGCCUGAUUCUUCUGGAAGCCUCAGCUGCCAUAGACAGUUCUUUUAUUGUUUGGUAACCCCAUGGGUAGCAAUAAAGUUGAGAUGAAAACACAUU